RNAcentral lists this ribosomal RNA (401 nucleotides) under Thoracosphaeraceae sp. Its description in RNAcentral is "partial small subunit ribosomal RNA". It matches the Rfam family "Eukaryotic small subunit ribosomal RNA", at positions 30 to 432 of the family's 1831-position model. The record is from RNAcentral. Lineage: Eukaryota; Dinophyceae; Thoracosphaerales; Thoracosphaeraceae.
GCUUGUCUCAAAGAUUAAGCCAUGCAUGUCUCAGAAUAAAUCUCUAUACGUUGAAUCUGCAAAUGGCUCUUUAAAACAGUUAUUGUUUACUUGAUGGUCAUUCCUUACAUGGAUAACUGUGGUAAUUCUAGAGCUAAUACAUGUGCCCAAGCCCGACUCCGUGGAAGGGUUGUGUUUAUUAGUUACAGAACCAACCGAUGCUUGCAUCGUCUUGUGGUGAUUCAUAAUAACUCCUCGAAUCGCAUGGCCUUGCGCCGGCGAUGUUUCAUUCAAAUUUCUGCCCUAUCAAUUUGAUGGUAGGAUAGAGGCCUACCAUGGUGGUAACGGGUGACGGAGAAUUAGGGUUCGAUUCCGGAGAGGGAGCCUGAGAAACGGCUACCACAUCCAAGGAAGGCAGCAGG